AGCCAUAGACAUCUUGGAUAGAAGGCUAAUAAUGAUAUCUAAUAAAUGCAGACCUGGCGAUGAAUAACUACCGGUACCUAUUGUGAUAUUUUUACCAGUCCAGUCCACCCAAUUUGUUUGUCUUCUCACCUUCCCUGGCUUAACAAGGACUUCUGUGGCUUAACGUCUCAACUUCCCUGGCUAUUAAGUGUCUUAACAGCCUCUUAAAGAUUCCAGGCAAAUAAUACUGGUAGCAAGGAAAACAAUGGUGGCCUUUUCCCAUUUAUUUAUUUCAUUAAUAUCCUGCCUUUAUUUUAUACAAUUUAAGGCAGAAUACACAAUGCUCCCUCUUCCCAUUUUCCCAUAAGAGCAACCCUAUGAAGUGUGUUGGGUUAAGGCAGAUGGAUGGGCCCAAAGUUACCUAUUUAGCUGCUGCAUCUAAAGGAGGAUUGGAACUCAUAACCAAUUUAGUUUCUAAUCCACCAUCUUAACCACUACAAUAAAAUAGCUUUUGAACUUCUCCUCCACUCACUAGCUCAUUACUGUCAAUCAUCUACUGGGAAGAAUACCAGAGCUGCCUGUUGGUUUUAAAAUCCAAUUUACAGACAAUGCAACUUUUAACAAUUUAGGCAAGUUGCACAACUGUGUUUUUCUUGAGGUGAGGUUGAAUUGUGGAGUCCUUGGUGCUCUCUGAGCUUGAUUGUUUGAUUCAAGAUAAGAAGGAUUAUGACCAUAAUCAAUAUGACUUGCUAUUCAUAUGUAAACUUCGAGCUAAUGUACUGGCAACAAAUUCCUUGUGUGUGUCCAAUCACACUUGGUCAAUAAAGCAAUUCUGUUCUAUUUCCAUUUCCAUUUCUAUUUCAAAACAUAUCCUCUCCAGCAGCCAACACUGAGAGAAGCAGGGAUUAACACCAGACAAACAAUCAAGCAAAGCAGAAAACAAUACCCUAAUAAAAAAAAUAUGUUAAGAAGAAAACCACUCACCCACCAAAACAGGCAGAGUAAACUACUGAAGCAAUCGUUGUUGCUGAUGAUGUUACCUAUAGUAGUUGGGUAAUGUGACAUCUAAACCACCAGCCUCAGAGAGCAAUAAGGACUCCACUUCUGUUUCUUUCUGCAUUGUUUUUCAAUUAGAAAAUCUUUUUCUGCUCUUGGCAUAGUUCCAUGCUUGGAGGUCCACCUGAACUGGUCAUGUGAUCAACUUCAGGGGACUGGUAGAGCCUGCAGCUGAAGCUACUGCAGGUACAGUUGUGACCAAAAGAUUUCUCCUCCCCACCUCCCACAGAAAGGAAUACAUACAUUGCUAACAUCUCCACCCCUUCCACAUUUUCUUGAAAGCACUUUCUUAUCAUGGGAAUUUUAGCAGUUGCUGUCCACCAUAAUUAUUAUCAUUAACGAAACCUUCUCAUUUUAUGGUUAACACAAACAAUCAUCACAAGUGGUUCACUAUUUCAUUAAUAGUGUAUAAUCAGGGGUGGUAUUCACUUACCUUCGUUACAGGUUUGCAAAUAUGAGUGCACGCGCCACCUCCGUGUAUGCGCAGAGCAUCAGAAAUGGGACAUGAUGUCUGGGCAGGUGGGCGGAGCCUCUCACAGCCACCACUACCGGUUCGCCUGAACCUGAUAUAACCAGCUGAAUACCACCACUGCCUAUAAUAUGUAUCUGUUGUAAUCUGGUGAUGGACUAACUCAGCAAUGCAGAUAAGCCUCUGGAGAAACCUUUAUUUCAAAUGGCAAACCUUGACUGAGGACUUCUGGGGAAGAAAUGGCAAACUGAAGAUGGAGUCAACCCCAUCCAGAACUAAAGAUGUUAAAGAAUGUGCUGGGCCCCUCCCAUCUCCUGCUAUCUCAGCCAGAGACUGAUAGUGAAGAAGAAUGGCCUGGCAUGCCUCCAGCCCCCAGCCCUGGCACCAUGCCCGGACAGAAUGAGCAAACAAAUCUCCCUCCUACAGUGUGUGAGCAAGAAGCCAGCCACGAGCUAGAAUUGCUGGCAGCUGAGCAGGAGGACAAAACGUGGACAGAUCCCCGCUUCCGGAGAAUGGAGAGGCGAUGUCAGCAAAAGGAAGGGAGGGGCAGGCCUGGAUAAGUGCUGAGUCAUGGAGCCACAGCCCAUGGCCUAUAUAAAGGAUCUGCUUUUUGGCAUUCCUUGAGUCAGACAAAGUCUCAUCUGGUUGCUGAAGUCACACCUUGGAUUCCUGCCUGCCCUGAGAACUCUGACAGGAAUUUGGCAAAGCUGCAGAGGCUUCAUGGCCACGCUUGAUACAGACUUCCCAGACCCGGCCGUCGGAGGGGGAGUGGGACACGACAAAUUUUGUUUUUUCUUCCUUUUCUAUUUUUUCUUUUCUGCACUUUCUAUUCUUUAUUUUUUACUUUAUAUUUUAGUUUGUAUUAGUUUUUAUCGUGUGUGUGUGUGUGUGUGAGUGUGUGUGUGUGUGUAUGUAUGAUUAAAAACUAACAUAUGUAAAAGCAGGGAGCAACCACACAUGCUGAUCUUGGUGCUUUGUUGGUAAUGAAACAUUUGCAAGAAGGGGGAUGCACUGGAUCAGAGAUUUAAUGAUGCUGGAACUCCUGGACAGAAAUGAUUUGCCCUUCGGCAGUUUGAGCCCGGCUCCAUGAGACGGAAUGAGCCCCUGUCGCUUGAUCCCUGGCUCCCCGUCCACCCAGCAGUUCAAAAGCAUGCAAUAUUGUGAGUGAAUAAAUGGAUACCACUUCGGUGAGGGCUGCUUUUGUGUGUGUGUAGCUGCCUAGCUGCCUUUGUGUGUGUGUAGAACAAAAACUGGUGUUGGACCUGGCUGGACGGGAGGCAUCUCAACAUGAGGUGAAACCAGCAGAGGAACCCAGAAGAGCCAGCAAUUCGUACCAUUAGUUAACUGGUGUAAAAAUAGUUUGCCCCCCAACCCCGCAGUGCACCAAGGAUGGGUAUGCAAGUGUCAAACAAAACGAACUAGCAAUUUAGGCUGUCAGGACUGCAUUGUGUCUAGCAUGUUCAGAUUUCUCUGACAUUGUAUGCCUAAUAGUAGAUAAUAAAGACUAACUACUAUUGACCUCACCCCAUUCCUAAGAGGUCUGUAAGGGGCGUGUAUAAGAGCACCAACAUGCCUACCGUUCCUGUCCUAAUGUUACCUUUGAUAGUUAUUUCAUGCUUAUACUUAUAUAUACUGUAGUGUUUGACAAAUAAAUAAAUAAAUAAAAAUAAAACAAAUGUACUAAAUAAAUUAAUUUGCAAAGAAUCCAAGCUCAGGGAAGCAUCAAGGGCUCUAUUUAUGUCUCUUUCUCCACCUGUGUGGCUUAACAGGUUGGGCUUCACACUUCCUGUAGUAGAAGUGAUGAAUCCAUGCACAUAUUACACUGGCCCUUUUCUUCUGACCCCACACAUGCUGUUUUCCACCUCUACUUAUGGGACCGCCUUCUGCUACCGAAUACCUCCCACCGUCCCGUACGCUCACACAGAGAGGGGCUUCUCAGCGUGCCGUCCGCCAAACAAUGUCGGCUGGCGGCCCCCAGGGGAAGGUCCUUCUCUGUGGGGGCUCCUACCCUCUGAAACGAACUUCCCCCUGGAUUACGCCAACUGCCUGACCGUGAGCUCAAGACCUAUUUAUUCAUCCGUGCGGGACUGGCUUCGUGAUUUUUAAAUUUUUAAAUUUUAUAUUUUUAGAGAGUUUAAUUUUAAUAGGAUAUUGUUUUAUAUCUCAACCCAUAUAUAAUAAGUUUUUUAAUUGUUGUUUUAAUUGUAUAUUGUUCUAUUUUUUUAUUAUGGCUGUGAACCGCCCUGAGUCUUUCGGGAGAAGGGCGGUAUAAAAAUCAAAUAAAUAAAUAAAUAAAUAAAUACAGUAUAUGUGUAGUGCAAAUGAAGUUGGCUACAAUUUUUUCACUUUCUCAUUCUGAUUUUUUUUUCCAUUCUUUCCUCAUUAAAGCAUCUCAUCCUCUGGUUUCCUCAAAUG
Molecule: long non-coding RNA, 3919 nt
Organism: Ahaetulla prasina
Lineage: Eukaryota; Metazoa; Chordata; Lepidosauria; Squamata; Colubridae
Exons: 3
Source: RefSeq, a predicted model, not a curated record